GUGCCAAUGCCCCAGGGUAAGAAAAAAAAUUACCACUAAUUAGAUACAUGUUGACCAUGUAUUCCUACCAGAUUAUGUAUGUCUCCUUAGCAGUGCAGUACCAUGAAUUUGGAGUUGACUUCGCCCCUAAUUUCAUGCAUAGUCGCAUUUAGUAGCUUGGACAGAAGAUGAACUCCCUUACCUAGGAUUAGACAAGAUUUGGAAAUAUGUAUGUGUAGUCUUACAAUGGGUUGUAGGCUUAGUACGGUAGUGCUAUGUUUCUGUCUAGAUUUUUGACUUGUACAAUUAGUUGCAUGUUUCUUAUAUGCUUAGAAUUAGUUGGUUAGUGUACUUGGCCUCAUUUGUCUGUAGUUCUUGUAACGAAGCUAUGAUAUAUUGUCUUUGAUAUUUAGUAGAUGGAUCAUUUAGGGCUUUAUGUUUCAUAGCGGGAGGAUCGAAGAUAUUAGGGAGUUUUCCCCGCCAAAAAAAAGAUACUAGGGAGUUUUAGAAUACGAAGAAAGUGGUUGAGUUGUUUGAAAGUAUGCUUAGUUUUAGUGAGCUUGUAUGUUGUGCAAGGGAGAAGUUUGAUAAUAAGGUCACAUUAUGAGGAUAAUUUGAUUAUGGGAAGGAUAGUGCACAUUGGGCGUGUUUGGUUCUUAAUAACUUAGAAAAAGGUGUCUUGCCAAAAAGCUUCUAGGGCC
This 680-nucleotide long non-coding RNA is filed under the name Sorghum bicolor (sorghum). RNAcentral's name for it is "long non-coding RNA (SBIC_LNC004384)". Lineage: Eukaryota; Viridiplantae; Streptophyta; Magnoliopsida; Poales; Poaceae. The record is from RNAcentral.